Molecule: unclassified non-coding RNA, 247 nt
Filed under: Hevea brasiliensis (rubber tree)
Lineage: Eukaryota; Viridiplantae; Streptophyta; Magnoliopsida; Malpighiales; Euphorbiaceae
Source: RNAcentral
GGAAAUUGUAAAAGCUUGAAGAUUAUUGAUCUCUCAUUAAAUUUUUUCUCCGGAGCCAUACCACAGUCCCUGGGAAGCCUCUCAAAUAUUGAAGAGCUCAUGCUUAGCAACAAUAACAUCUCUGGUUCGAUCCCAUCUGUUCUUUCAAAAGCCACAAAUCUGUUACAGUUGCAGCUUGAUACUAAUCAGAUAUCGGGCACUAUUCCAGCAGAGCUUGGUAAGUUGACACAGUUAACAGUCUUCUUUG